GAUGAACGCUGGCGGCGUGCCUAAUACAUGCAAGUCGAGCGAACAGACGAGGAGCUUGCUCCUCUGACGUUAGCGGCGGACGGGUGAGUAACACGUGGAUAACCUACCUAUAAGACUGGGAUAACUUCGGGAAACCGGAGCUAAUACCGGAUAAUAUAUUGAACCGCAUGGUUCAAUAGUGAAAGACGGUUUUGCUGUCACUUAUAGAUGGAUCCGCGCCGCAUUAGCUAGUUGGUAAGGUAACGGCUUACCAAGGCGACGAUGCGUAGCCGACCUGAGAGGGUGAUCGUCCACCCUGGAACUGUGACGCGGUCCAGACUCCUACGGGAGGCAGCAGUAGGGAAUCUUCCGCAGUGGGCGAGAGCCUGACGGAGCAGCGCCGCGUGAGUGAUGAAGGUCUUCGGAUCGUAAAACUCUGUUAGUAGGGAAGAACAAAUGUGUAAGUAACUAUGCACGUCUUGACGGUACCUAAUCAGAAAGCCACGGCUAACUACGUG
This 497-nucleotide ribosomal RNA is filed under the name uncultured bacterium. RNAcentral describes it as "partial 16S ribosomal RNA". It matches the Rfam family "Bacterial small subunit ribosomal RNA", at positions 28 to 507 of the family's 1533-position model. The record is from RNAcentral.